UAGGGAAUCUUCGGCAAUGGGGGGAACCCUGACCGAGCAACGCCGCGUGAGUGAAGAAGGUUUUCGGAUCGUAAAGCUCUGUUGUUAAGGAAGAACGAGUGUGAGAAUGGAAAGUUCAUACUGUGACGGUACUUAACCAGAAAGGGACGGCUAACUACGUGCCAACAGCCGCGGUAAUACGUAGGUCCCGAGCGUUGUCCGGAUUUAUUGGGCGUAAAGCGAGCGCAGGCGGUUAGAAAAGUCUGAAGUGAAAGGCAGUGGCUCAACCAUUGUAGGCUUUGGAAACUGUUUAACUUGAGUGCAGAAGGGGAGAGUGGAAUUCCAUGUGUAGCGGUGAAAUGCGUAGAUAUAUGGAGGAACACCGGUGGCGAAGGCGACUCUCUGGUCUGUAACUGACGCUGAGGCUCGAAAGCGUGGGUAGCAAACAGG
Molecule: ribosomal RNA, 429 nt
Filed under: Bacteroidota bacterium
Lineage: Bacteria; Pseudomonadati; Bacteroidota
Description: Bacteroidetes bacterium partial 16S ribosomal RNA
Rfam family: Bacterial small subunit ribosomal RNA
Source: RNAcentral